AUGGAACUGGACAUGUAUAACAUGGUGGUGCAGGCGGACGGCAGCGUCACAUACCAGCUGACCGACCCAACAACGUGGGGCGCGUGGGCACACGAGGGGCAUCGGCUGUGGGCGUCCAUGUCGGAGGAUUUCUGGCUCUACGAGUACAAGGUGCGACGGUGCCCGCAGCCGUACAGCCACGACUGGACGGCAUGCCCGUACGCGCACAAGGGCGAGCGUGCCCGCCGCCGUGACCCGCGCCGCUUCAACUACGUCGCCAUCUCCUGCCCGGAGUAUCGCGCCAAUGCGCACGCGCACGCGCAGCUCGGGCUCGCCGGCGCCGGUCACCCGCCGCCGACCUGCGCGCGAGGGCUCAGGUGCCGCUACGCGCACGGCGUCUUCGAGUUGUGGCUGCACCCGUCCCGGUUCCGCACGCGCAAGUGCGAGGCAGGCACGCGCUGCCAACGCCGGAUCUGCUUCUUCGCGCACUUCACCCGUGAGCUCAGGGGCGAGGACCCGGUCGCCGCGUUCGCUGCCGCCGCGGUGCCGCCUUCGACCUUCGCCAUGCUGCGGACGCCGCCCCGCAUCUUCCAACGCGCUCCAUCCACUCCUGUAACGCGUCCGCGGGUUGUUUCAACUCCACAGCUGUUCGAUGACCUCACCCUGCAGGCCACUCCAAACAGGCUUCGCAUGCUGAGCCUAUACUCUGCCAUCACCGGGGACGAUGUUUUCUGCUCCCCCGUCGCCACCGCCUCCGCCGUCGCCACUGCUGCCACCACCAUGCCGACCCUCAGGGCGCCCUUACCGGCAAACGAGGACGGGCAGGAGGAGGACACUAAAUCCGUCCAGUACGCGGAUGACGAAGAGUCCCUGCUGAACGACUACCCGCACCGAGAUCUCAUCAUGGACUUUAUGCGCUAG
RNAcentral lists this ribosomal RNA (900 nucleotides) under Triticum aestivum (bread wheat). RNAcentral describes it as "partial small subunit ribosomal RNA". Lineage: Eukaryota; Viridiplantae; Streptophyta; Magnoliopsida; Poales; Poaceae. The record is from RNAcentral.